UCAUGGCGGCGUUCUCUGCCCUCGCCGCGCCCGCGGCGCACCCCGCGCGGGUCCGCGCGUCGUCGUCGUCCUCGUCGUCGCGCGCGCGCCCUCGCUCGACGACGGCCCGUCGCGGCGUCAGGACGAACGACGCCGCGACGACGUCCUCGUCGACGACGUCGACCGAGACGGCCGUCUUCGCGAUGGGAUGAUUCUGGUCUCCGGAGGAGACCUUCUCCUCCAUCGAAGGCGUGCUCUCCACCAGGGUCGGGUACACCGGCGGGGACGCGCC
This 271-nucleotide long non-coding RNA is filed under the name Micromonas pusilla. Its description in RNAcentral is "long non-coding RNA (MPUS_LNC000053)". Lineage: Eukaryota; Viridiplantae; Chlorophyta; Mamiellophyceae; Mamiellales; Mamiellaceae. The record is from RNAcentral.